UACGUAGGAGGCGAGCGUUGUCCGGAGUUACUGGGCGUAAAGGGUGCGCAGGCGGCCAAGUGUGUUAGGCGUGAAAGCCCGGGGCUUAACCCCGGAAUUGCACCUAAAACUACAUGGCUAGAGCAUUGGAGAGGGUAGCAGAAUUCAUGGUGUAGCAGUGAAAUGCGUAGAUAUCAUGAGGAAUACCAGAGGCGAAGGCGGCUACCUGGACAAUUGCUGACGCUCAGGCACGAAAGCGUGGGGAGCAAAAGGG
RNAcentral lists this ribosomal RNA (253 nucleotides) under uncultured bacterium. Its description in RNAcentral is "partial 16S ribosomal RNA". It matches the Rfam family "Bacterial small subunit ribosomal RNA", at positions 524 to 776 of the family's 1533-position model. The record is from RNAcentral.